GACGUAGGAUGCGAGCGUUGUCCGGAUUUAUUGGGCGUAAAGGGUUCGUAGGUGGUUCAUUAAGUCUGGUGUUAAAGACCGGGGCUCAACCUCGGGAUCGCACUGGAUACUGGUGGACUGGAGUGCAGUAGAGGCAAGCGGAAUUCCAGGUGUAGCGGUGAAAUGCGUAGAUAUCUGGAAGAACACCGGUGGCGCAAGCGGCUUGCUGGGCUGUAACUGACACUGAGGAACGAAAGCUAGGGGAGCAAACAGG
This 253-nucleotide ribosomal RNA is filed under the name uncultured bacterium. RNAcentral's name for it is "partial 16S ribosomal RNA". It matches the Rfam family "Bacterial small subunit ribosomal RNA", at positions 524 to 776 of the family's 1533-position model. The record is from RNAcentral.